AACGAACGCUGGCGGCAUGCCUAACACAUGCAAGUCGAACGAGACCUUCGGGUCUAGUGGCGCACGGGUGCGUAACGCGUGGGAACCUGCCCUUAGGUUCGGAAUAACUCCCCGAAAGGGGUGCUAAUACCGGAUAAUGUCUUCGGACCAAAGAUUUAUCGCCUUUGGAUGGGCCCGCGUUGGAUUAGCUAGUUGGUAGGGUAAAAGCCUACCAAGGCGACGAUCCAUAGCUGGUCUGAGAGGAUGAUCAGCCACACUGGGACUGAGACACGGCCCAGACUCCUACGGGAGGCAGCAGUGGGGAAUAUUGGACAAUGGGCGAAAGCCUGAUCCAGCAAUGCCGCGUGAGUGAUGAAGGCCUUAGGGUUGUAAAGCUCUUUUACCCGGGAGGAUAAUGACAGUACCGGGAGAAUAAGCUCCGGCUAACUCCGUG
Molecule: ribosomal RNA, 433 nt
Filed under: uncultured bacterium
Lineage: Bacteria
Description: partial 16S ribosomal RNA
Rfam family: Bacterial small subunit ribosomal RNA
Source: RNAcentral